RNAcentral lists this RNase P RNA (129 nucleotides) under Erysipelotrichia bacterium. RNAcentral's name for it is "partial RNase P RNA component class B". It matches the Rfam family "Bacterial RNase P class B", at positions 208 to 365 of the family's 365-position model. From Rfam's summary of the family: Ribonuclease P (RNase P) is a ubiquitous endoribonuclease, found in archaea, bacteria and eukarya as well as chloroplasts and mitochondria. Its best characterised activity is the generation of mature 5'-ends of tRNAs by cleaving the 5'-leader elements of precursor-tRNAs. The record is from RNAcentral. Lineage: Bacteria; Bacillati; Bacillota; Erysipelotrichia.
GUGGAACGCGGUAAACCCCACAAGCGAGAAACCCAAAUUUGGUCGGGGAAAUAAGGAAAGAGAAACGAAUCAAUCCUUAUAGGCAAUGCCUAGAUAAAUGGUUGUCAAAACAGAACAUGGCUUAUAGGA